AGAUUGAACGCUGGCGGAAUGCUUUACACAUGCAAGUCGAACGGCAGCACGGGGGCAACCCUGGUGGCGAGUGGCGAACGGGUGAGUAAUACAUCGGAACGUGCCCAGUCGUGGGGGAUAACUACGCGAAAGCGUAGCUAAUACCGCAUACGAUCUACGGAUGAAAGCGGGGGAUCGCAAGACCUCGCGCGAUUGGAGCGGCCGAUGGCAGAUUAGGUAGUUGGUGGGGUAAAGGCUCACCAAGCCGUCGAUCUGUAGCUGGUCUGAGUGGACGACCAGCCACACUGGGACUGAGACACGGCCCAGACUCCUACGGAGGCAGCAGUGGGAAUUUUGGACAAUGGGCGCAAGCCUGAUCCAGCCAUGCCGCGUGUGUGAAGAAGGCCUGGUUGUAAGCACUUUGUCCGUAAGAAAGACGCUGGUUAACACCUGGUAGUCCUGACGUACCGGAAGAUAAG
This 458-nucleotide ribosomal RNA is filed under the name uncultured soil bacterium. Its description in RNAcentral is "bacterial SSU rRNA". It matches the Rfam family "Bacterial small subunit ribosomal RNA", at positions 26 to 490 of the family's 1533-position model. The record is from RNAcentral.